GUAAAUUUCUUCUAAAGCUAAAUAUUGGCCAGAGACCGAUAGCGCACAAGUAGAGUGAUCGAAAGAUGAAAAGCACUUUGAAAAGAGGGUUAAAUAGCACGUGAAAUUGUUGAAAGGGAAGCGUUUGCGACCAGACUUUUUCCUAGCGGAUCAUCCGGUGUUAUCACCGGUGCACUUCGCUAGGUUAAGGCCAGCAUCGGUUUCUGUAGGGGGAUAAAAGCUUGGGGAAUGUAGCUCCCUCGGGAGUGUUAUAGCCCCUCGCAUAAUACCCUUACGGGGACCGAGGACCGCGCUUUUGCAAGGAUGCUGGCGUAAUGGUUGUCAACGACCCGUCUUGAAACACGGACCAAGGAGUCGAACAUUUGUGCGAGUGUUUGGGUGUUAAACCCUCACGCGUAAUGAAAGUGAACGGAGGUGAGAGCCCUUACGGGUGCAUCAUCGACCGAUCCUGAUGUCUUCGGAUGGAUUUGAGUAAGAGCAUAACUGUUCGGACCCGAAAGAUGGUGAACUAUGCGUGGAUAGGGUGAAGCCAGAGGAAACUCUGGUGGAGGCUCGCAGCGGUUCUGACGUGCAAAUCGAUCGUCAAAUCUGCGCAUGGGGGCGAAAGACUUAUCGAACCAUCUAGUAGCUGGUUACCGCCGAAGUUUCCCUCAGGAUAGCAGUGUUGUUCUUCAGUUUUAUGAGGUAAAGCGAAUGAUUAGGGACUCGGGGGCGCUUUUUAGCCUUCAUCCAUUCUCAAACUUUAAAUAUGUAAGAAGCCCUUGUUACUUAAUUGAACGUGGGCAUUCGAAUGUACCAACACUAGUGGGCCAUUUUUGGUAAGCAGAACUGGCGAUGCGGGAUGAACCGAACGCGGGGUUAAGGUGCCUGAGUGGACGCUCAUCAGACACCACAAAAGGUGUUAGCACAUUUAGACAAUAGGACGGUGGCCAUGGAAGUCGGAAUCCGCUAAGGACUGUGUAACAACUCACCUAUCGAAUGUGCUAGCCCUGAAAAUGGAUGGCGCUCAAGCGUCCCACCCAUACCCCGCCCUCAGG
RNAcentral lists this ribosomal RNA (1037 nucleotides) under Xylaria sp. 5340. RNAcentral describes it as "eukaryotic LSU rRNA". It matches the Rfam family "Eukaryotic large subunit ribosomal RNA", at positions 299 to 1359 of the family's 3401-position model. The record is from RNAcentral. Lineage: Eukaryota; Fungi; Ascomycota; Sordariomycetes; Xylariales; Xylariaceae.